Long non-coding RNA from Oreochromis aureus, 413 nucleotides. Lineage: Eukaryota; Metazoa; Chordata; Actinopteri; Cichliformes; Cichlidae. The record is from Ensembl.
GGAGCAAGUGGGGAGCCGUGUGCACUCUGCAGGAAGCGAGAGAGACGAGAGCUGAACAGUGUCGAGUGAACGCAGAGUUCCUAGAAGGGCGACAGACAUAUUUUCGGAUUGACGGAUAGUUAACUGGAGUGAAAAGCUGUUGUACCCUACUGUGAGUAGGAGGAGACGGACGUCUUGCUGGCGUGUCAGAGAGGUCCCUUCUACUGGUGUGCUGAAGUUAUGUGUUCACGUGGAGAGGACGACUGAGUGCUGCUGCCGCGGCCUGCUGGUAGCCUUGACCCACUUUCCCCUGCUAUCCCCUUGAACUGCCUGGAGGUAAACCACAGAGCCGGUUGCCAUGGGGAUGCUGCAGGGAGCUCCUCAUCCUCCCACCAAUGGGCUUCAGCGAUCUGUUACCGCGGGAAACCUGGCUU